RNAcentral lists this ribosomal RNA (468 nucleotides) under uncultured bacterium. Its description in RNAcentral is "partial 16S ribosomal RNA". It matches the Rfam family "Bacterial small subunit ribosomal RNA", at positions 28 to 507 of the family's 1533-position model. The record is from RNAcentral.
GACGAACGCUGGCGGCGUGCUUAACACAUGCAAGUCGAACGAAAAGGCCCUGCUUUUGUGGGGUGCUCGAGUGGCGAACGGGUGAGUAACACGUGUGUAACCUGCCCUUGACUUUGGGAUAACUUCAGGAAACUGGGGCUCAUACCGGAUAGGAGCUCCUGCUGCACGGUGGGGGUUGGAGAGUUUCGGCGGUUGGGGCUGGUCUCGCGGCUUAUCAGCUUGUUGGUGUGGUAGUGGCUUACCAAGGCUUUGACGGGUAGCCGGCCUGAGAGGGGGACCGGCCACAUUGGGACUAAGGGACGGCCCAGACUGCUACGGGACGCAGCAGGGGGGAAUAUGGCAGAAUGGGCGGAAGCCUGAUGCAGCAACGCCGCGUGCGGGAAGACGGCCUUCUGGUUGUAAACCGAUUUCGAAUGUGACGAAGCGUGAGUGACGGUAAUGGGUAAAGAAGCACCGGCUAACUACGUG